RNAcentral lists this ribosomal RNA (413 nucleotides) under uncultured bacterium. RNAcentral describes it as "bacterial SSU rRNA". It matches the Rfam family "Bacterial small subunit ribosomal RNA", at positions 505 to 916 of the family's 1533-position model. The record is from RNAcentral.
GUGCCAGCAGCCGCGGUAAUACGAAGGGUGCAAGCGUUACUCGGAAUUACUGGGCGUAAAGCGUGCGUAGGUGGUGGUUUAAGUCAGAUGUGAAAGCCCUGGGCUCAACCUGGGAACUGCAUUUGAUACUGGAUCACUAGAGUGCGGUAGAGGAUAGUGGAAUUCCCGGUGUAGCAGUGAAAUGCGUAGAGAUCGGGAGGAACACCAGUGGCGAAGGCGACUAUCUGGACCAGCACUGACACUGAGGCACGAAAGCGUGGGGAGCAAACAGGAUUAGAUACCCUGGUAGUCCACGCCCUAAACGAUGCGAACUGGAUGUUGGGAGCAACUUGGCUCUCAGUAUCGAAGCUAACGCGUUAAGUUCGCCGCCUGGGGAGUACGGUCGCAAGACUGAAACUCAAAUGAAUUGACGG